AUGUUACAUCACCAAGUGCUCUGUCAACUGCCCCACGACAGGGACCAUGUCUGACACAGCUCUUCACCUCUUUCACCGCAUCUCUCUGCAACUAAGAAAUGCUUGCUGACUUUUCUCAUAAAUUGGAUUUAUCUGAGCCAUUUAUUAUUAUUUUUUCCUGAAAAAUCACACACUUUUCCUUUUAUAGUUUUGGUUCCCUGGUAACUCUAUGCAAGCACCACACAUCAUUGUUCACUGUUGUGCUAUAUGCUGUGGACCAGGUGGGGUUUUGAUUUGAGGUACUACGGCCUACUGGGGGAAAGAUGGCUACACACACUACCUUCUUCCUGGAAAGUAUGCCCCUGAACAGCACGGGGCCGAGGCCACACAGACAGCUGACCGAGCGGCUGUCAGGCACCAGGGACAGACCCGAGGGUCCACUGCAGAGAACAGCCCGGCGGCUUUCUCCUGCUCCUCCUUGGGAGCAUUUCAAGUGCAGAGAGGCACUGAAGGUGAAAACUGGAAACCUCAAUUAAAAAGAGUCUAAAAGGCAGAGCUGGCUGAAUGAAGAGUCACAAGCAAUGUGAAAGUGAAUUAAAAAUGAAACCAACUGUCAGCAGAAAUAAACAUGUAUAUGAGUUCCUA
Long non-coding RNA from Ochotona curzoniae (black-lipped pika), 624 nucleotides. RefSeq lists it as uncharacterized. The transcript has 3 exons. NCBI's taxonomy places the organism in Eukaryota, Metazoa, Chordata, Mammalia, Lagomorpha, Ochotonidae. The record is from RefSeq and is a predicted model, not a curated record.